GGCGGGGUAACGGCCCACCAAGCCUUCGAUCAGUAACUGGUGUGAGAGCACGACCAGUCACACGGGCACUGAGACACGGGCCCGACUCCUACGGGAGGCAGCAGUAAGGAAUAUUGGUCAAUGGACGCAAGUCUGAACCAGCCAUGCCGCGUGGAGGAUUAAGGCCCUCUGGGUUGUAAACUCCUUUUAUCUGGGAAGAAAUGCUUUGAUUCUUCAAAGCUUGACGGUACCAGAGGAAUAAGCACCGGCUAACUCCGUGCCAGCAGCCGCGGUAAUACGGAGGGUGCAAGCGUUAUCCGGAUUCACUGGGUUUAAAGGGUGCGUAGGCGGGUAAGUAAGUCCGUGGUGAAAUCUCUGAGCUUAACUCAGAAACUGCCGUGGAUACUAUUUGCCUUGAAUAUUGUGGAGGUGAGCGGAAUAUGUCAUGUAGCGGUGAAAUGCUUAGAUAUGACAUAGAACACCAAUUGCGAAGGCAGCUCACUACACAAUCAUUGACGCUGAGGCACGAAAGCGUGGGGAUCAAACAGGAUUAGAUACCCUGGUAGUCCACGCCCUAAACGAUGAUUACUCGACAUCAGCGAUACACUGUUGGUGUCUGAGCGAAAGCAUUAAGUAAUCCACCUGGGAAGUACGACCGCAAGGUUGAAACUCAAAGGAAUUGACGG
Molecule: ribosomal RNA, 665 nt
Filed under: uncultured bacterium
Lineage: Bacteria
Description: bacterial SSU rRNA
Rfam family: Bacterial small subunit ribosomal RNA
Source: RNAcentral